This 144-nucleotide non-coding RNA is filed under the name uncultured Anaeroplasma sp. The record is from RNAcentral. Lineage: Bacteria; Bacillati; Mycoplasmatota; Mollicutes; Anaeroplasmatales; Anaeroplasmataceae.
AAAGAAGUAAUAGCGAAAUCGUGGCCUUAUGAACAAAAACUUGAUAUCAAGGCCCAUUAGGUGGAUGAGAUUCCAAUUCAAACUAAAGUCCAAAAGACAAACGUAAGCCUAAUCGGUAAAUCAAGAGGGUAAACGAGGAAAGAG